CGUAACACGUGAGCAACCUUCCGAAAUAUGGGGGAUAGCCGGCCUAACGGCCGAGUAAUACCGCAUACGCUCUCGAUGAGGCAUUUCAUUGAGAGGAAACCUCCGGGGUAUUUCGAGGGGCUCGCGGCCUAUCAGCUAGUUGGCGAGGUAACGGCUCACCAAGGCAACGACGGGUAGCUGGUCUGAGAGGAUGGCCAGCCACAUUGGGACUGAGACACGGCCCAG
Molecule: ribosomal RNA, 225 nt
Filed under: uncultured bacterium
Lineage: Bacteria
Description: partial 16S ribosomal RNA
Rfam family: Bacterial small subunit ribosomal RNA
Source: RNAcentral